This 74-nucleotide transfer RNA is filed under the name Corynebacterium sp. SY003. Its description in RNAcentral is "tRNA-Pro". It matches the Rfam family "tRNA". From Rfam's summary of the family: Transfer RNA (tRNA) molecules are approximately 80 nucleotides in length. Their secondary structure includes four short double-helical elements and three loops (D, anti-codon, and T loops). The record is from RNAcentral. RNAcentral also lists the same sequence under 2 other names. Lineage: Bacteria; Bacillati; Actinomycetota; Actinomycetes; Mycobacteriales; Corynebacteriaceae.
CGGGAUAUGGCGCAGCUUGGUAGCGCACCUCGUUCGGGACGAGGGGGUCGCAGGUUCAACUCCUGUUAUCCCGA